Molecule: RNase P RNA, 345 nt
Filed under: Clostridiaceae bacterium
Lineage: Bacteria; Bacillati; Bacillota; Clostridia; Eubacteriales; Clostridiaceae
Description: RNase P RNA component class A
Rfam family: Bacterial RNase P class A
About the family: Ribonuclease P (RNase P) is a ubiquitous endoribonuclease, found in archaea, bacteria and eukarya as well as chloroplasts and mitochondria.
Source: RNAcentral
UGAGUAAGCCAGACAGCUGCAUGUACAGUGCCGAAAGGCCGUACAUGAGGAAAGUCCGGGCUCCAUAGGGCAGGGUGCCGGGUAACUCCCGGUGAAGGUGACUUUAAGGAAAGUGCAACAGAGAUAUACCGCCGGUUUUACCGGUAAGGGUGGAAAGGUGAGGUAAGAGCUCACCAGCGGCAUGGCGACUUGCCGGCUAUGUAAACCCCACCUGGAGCAACACCGCAAAGAGGGACAUUUUGGUGGCCCGCCAGUCCCGGGUAGGUGGCUUGAGCUUUGCAGAAAUGCAUAGCCUAGAUAGAUGGCUGUCAAAUACAGAACCCGGCUUACAGGCUUACUCAUAAA